UUGUGUGAUGUUGCAGCU
This 18-nucleotide microRNA is filed under the name Oreochromis niloticus (Nile tilapia). RNAcentral describes it as "oni-miR-153d". Its record names the gene oni-miR-153d. Lineage: Eukaryota; Metazoa; Chordata; Actinopteri; Cichliformes; Cichlidae. The record is from miRBase by way of RNAcentral.